RNAcentral lists this microRNA precursor (82 nucleotides) under Bombyx mori (domestic silkworm). RNAcentral's name for it is "mir-2807 microRNA precursor family". It matches the Rfam family "mir-2807 microRNA precursor family". The record is from Rfam by way of RNAcentral. Lineage: Eukaryota; Metazoa; Arthropoda; Insecta; Lepidoptera; Bombycidae.
UUUAUUUAUUUAUAUGGAGUUAGAACGUUUGCCUACGUUUGCCGCUGGAGACGCUGUUCCAACUGCAUACAAAUUUCAGUGA